Gadus morhua (Atlantic cod) is the source of this 2148-nucleotide long non-coding RNA. The record is from Ensembl. Lineage: Eukaryota; Metazoa; Chordata; Actinopteri; Gadiformes; Gadidae.
CUUCCCCUUUUCUCUCUUUCCUUUCUUCCUUCCAUCUCCUCCUCUUCGUCCACCAAUUUUGUCUUGGCCCAAUCCCAGUUCCCAGGCUCCAAAAUGUACAGAGCGAAAACCUUGAAUCGAAACGUUACAAAAAGAAACGGCACUCGCUCGAGGCGAAAAAUGCAAUUUAUUUCAACCAUCGUAAUGUGGGUUUGUGUAACUGUUUGAAAGAGUAGUUUGUGUGAUUCAAGUGUGUGUGCGUGCGUGUGAGUGCAUGAGCGAGCGAGCGUGUGUACUGUGGGUACCCUCAUGUGAGUUUCAAUGUGCCUACGGGGGGGGGGAGUUAGAGGCUGUGUGUGUAUGUGCACAUUGUAAAGUGGUCAUUGUCCCUGAAGCCGUCGAAGCAUCCACACAUUUAGCCUUUGUUUACAUCUCCACUAGCAGGCUCGUGAAAACUAGGAUAGUGAGUCAGCGUAUUUAUAUAAAUAUAUAUUCCCUUUAUAUACACACUCCCUUGAGCACUGUCCUUCUGGUGAACUGGGAGGAGCAGAGGCUGACCCGGGUGCAGUCCGACCUGGGUGUAGCAGCAGGGCAUCACCUGUGGAGAUCACCUGUGGAGAUGCCACAAGAAAGCGCUUCCAAAAGAGGUUGACCUGCGAUGAUUCCUGUUGCCAAUGGAGAAAGGGGGCACCCGAGGAAAAGUGCAAACUUUGGGUGUUUUAUUGAUGAGAGACAACAACAGCAGCGGAGCACGGCCGUGCUCGCGCACAUUUUAAAGAACGGUCCGACAUACAAAGAUGACACGGCUUGCGCAAACAGGCUGAGUGCAGUUCAACAUGGACGCCGGGACACAGGGACGCACUGCAGCCAUGUAGCCCAUGCAUCAUUUACCCACGCACCAUAUGGCACAUACCCCCUUUGGAGAGCCAGUGAGGACGCACGAGUAGACUUCUGCCAGGGGGUGGGAGACGUGAACGGGCUGGGACCUCACAAUGUCUACAGGUGUGUUGUGUUUUAAUCUAAAAUGGCUGAAUAGAACUACGCUGAUUUAAUAGACUGUAGUUCAAUACAUUAGAAUGCUCGCUGGGGGACAAAACCAUUCAUAUCCUUACUAGUGAUGAAUCUGAAUUCUGAUAACGUAGUUGUUUCCGGCUGGAAAGGCACUGAAGGUAAGAUUGGACAGUUGUGGAGAGAGAGAGAGAGUGAAGGUACGAUUGGACAGUUGUGGAGAGAGAGAGAGAGAGAGAGAGAGAGAGAGAGAGAGAGAGAGAGAGAGAGAGAGAGAGAGAGAGAGAUUGUAAAGUGUUGCAUUCAUGCACCUGUGAGUGAUAGGCAGUAUGGAUUGCCCAAAACCAAUCACAUAAAGAGGGUCAACUCUAAAUGGUUGCGUACAGAGGCAGGCGCAGUCAACUCAAAACUCCUAGAGCAUUUCCCUCCCUAAUGGCUGACGGAUGGCUAUGCUGUUUCUAACAUAAACCACUCUAAUCAUUGCUUGUAAAUCCUACCUGCUGCACCUUUAAUGAGGCUUCCAUUGGAAUACUAACUUGACCAAUCACAGCACACAGAGACCACGCUUUGUAACGUCAUAAGGUUGGCCUAAAGCAACUCAUGCACAGAACGGGAAAUCUCAGGUUCCAGCCACACCAAUACGUUGUUCCUUUUAAAGCAGAGAUUUAAAGCAGAAAUCGACCUGCGUCAAGAUGAGCGUUUGAGCACCGUUUCCAAAAUAAUCUCUGUCCAUAUUACGCAAGGAAACGCAUAUUACCCACACAACCAUUCCCAUACACUGGGCAUGCGUUUUCAGUUGGUUGAUAGUUGCAGGUAAUACUAUGGAGGAGCCCAUCAUUUGUCAUCCAUUUUGAAUUAACCACUGGUGGUCAAGGCUGACCCCUUUCAUGGUCUGUCGUGUUUUGGUGUGUUUCCCUGAGUUUCCCUCCUGUGUUGAUUACUGUUCCCUCCCCUAAUGUGUCUCAGCUGUUCCUCGUUGUGUUUGUUACUCAAGCCCUUGUCUUUCCUUUGUUCCUUGUGCUAUCAUUGUGGUUGUUCGUCCUGCGUGUUCCCUGUUCCCUGUUGUCACCUGAGUUCCCUGGUUCCUUGCCUUAGCCUUUAGGCGAAAAUAAAGCGCUGUUCUCCCUAAACCGUCUGCGUCUGGGUCCUACCUGCCUGCCU